UGGGAACCUCAGGGACGCUUGGGAGAUUCCCGUCUGGGAGCCGGGGUCUUUUCUUGAUUCUCUGAGCACGUGGCGCCACCUCAACUAUGAUCGGCAGAUGCACCCGGAGGACAGACUGCCACUCUGAGGACACCCAGGACCCAGGAGGUUUCUGCUUCUGGCAGACAUCUGAGUAUCAGUUGCGGACUACAGGCUGUUCUAAGUAGACUGCGAGCCCUGGACUUGCUGUGGAUGUGAACCAAGUCAGCUGAUGUGGACACUCCCUGACUCUGCAACAGUGUCUGCUAACCAGAAGCCCCUGAUGGAUUCCCCAUUGCCUAAAUUCCUUUUUGCUUUUGACUAGCAUUUCAACCUUCUGGGGUCCCUAACUUCGUCCCAAAGUCAGCAGGAAGCAGUUUGAAAAAGAAUUUCAGCGUCCAUUUUCCCUGGUUAAAAUGCUAAGUCAAAAGGAACUCCUUACAUGGGGAUGCCAAUAUCUAUCACUUCCUGAUGGGGAUACUAGAGAGACAGCAAUUCCAUGAUUGGAAUUUCCAGAAAAGAAAAUGGGGGAAUGAAGGAACCGGCUUCCCUUUUGGCAGCCAUAACAGCCGAACACGUGCUUGCCAUAAACCUACCUUGGUCACGUAGAGGUCAGAUGCCUGUCUCGUGACAAGGAACCCAUCAGAAGUUAGUCACUAGAAAGUCAGAUGCCUGUCUCGUGACAAGGAGCCAAUCGGAAGUUAGCUGGUGGCGCUAUGCUUUACGACCCUGGGUGUGCUUUACGGACAAGCGCACGACAAUGACGUAGAGAGCAUAGCAACCACCCUGGGAGGGCCUAUGAGCCAUAACAACCAGUUGACCAAUCAACACAGGGCAAGCCCUCCAAGCCUGGAAGCACACUAAUCGUGAGCCUGUGCAUACCCCUAG
RNAcentral lists this long non-coding RNA (906 nucleotides) under Cricetulus griseus (Chinese hamster). Its description in RNAcentral is "lncRNA (ENSCGRG00015036454.1)". The record is from RNAcentral. Lineage: Eukaryota; Metazoa; Chordata; Mammalia; Rodentia; Cricetidae.